Molecule: long non-coding RNA, 3196 nt
Organism: Microcebus murinus (gray mouse lemur)
Lineage: Eukaryota; Metazoa; Chordata; Mammalia; Primates; Cheirogaleidae
Source: Ensembl
GCCUGAGCGAGGGCAGCCGGCUGUGGAAGGCUCCAGCUUGGGGCUGCUGGACCACUGUGGCCAGAGCAUCCCCAGCCCCGGACAGGGCCUGGCCCCGAGGGUGCUGGAUAAAACACGGCAUGUCUAGAAGGACGAGUGCAGCUGGAAACAGGAAACCCUGAUGGAGCCAGGCUGCUGGGAUUUACAUCUGAGAACCCAGAGCUGACACACAGAUGUCCCUGUGUAACUCCAGGACCGUGUGCGGAGAGCAGCCCAGGCUAGAGGAGCUGAGCCCAGCUUGCACGCGGUACUUGUCCCUGAGGUCAGGCUGGGGUGGUCGCCGCCUCCGUGGUUGGGCCACACCUGCCAGGAUGCAAAUAAAGACCAAGGAGGUUUAUUUUCCUCCUGACUGGGGCUGGGGCUCCAGCGGUUUACCUUGCCCUAACUCAGCUGCUGCGCACCUUGGUGCAGAUGAAAGAGGACAAUGCAUCAGGCCUUAACGAGCUGCAGGGGCUGCAGGCGCCUGGUCCGGUCUGGCCUCCUGUCCCCGUCCGGCCCAGCCCCGCAGCCUCGCUGGCUGGGGAUCAAACGCACCCAGACACGCAGGGAGCAGAGCUGCGGCCGGGGCUCCUCCGUGCACACCCCGAGCGCGACGGCGAGCUGGGCUGGGCCAGACGCAGGCCGCAAAUCAACGCAUCAACGCGACAGCUAGAGGCAUCGUGGACUGGCCAGACGCGGUUUGACCCCAGCCCUGCCCUGCCCUGCUCUUCUUGGCCGUGUGGUCUCAGGCAAAGCCAAAGGGUGAAGCAUGGGGAAGACAUUAGCGAACAGUUUUAUUCCUGUAAACUGUCGUGCAUUUGGCGCCGUGAAGAGCUGUCAACAGGGAUGCAAGCUCAUUCUGAGGCCAAGAGACAACGCAGAGUAUUCUAAGUAUCUUCCUCUAUUAUGAAGCAAUAGAUAACUUAUUUCAAUCCAAAAUUCUGGGUCUCCAGGUCCCAGCAGCCAAGAAUGUGAGAGCAGCCCCUGACGCUGGCGGGAAAACCACAGGCUUUCUCCCCUGGACCAGAGGAUUAAAGAGAACAAGAGCUUGCUAUGAGCUUUGCAGCACCGAGCUUUUCAAAGCAAAGAGCCCUGACUGCCCUGAACCUCUUUCUGUCUUUGUGAGCUGGAUCUGUCGUGGCUCGAGGGCUGGCUGCCACCGUCGCCCCCCACGUGGACCCUCAACCUGCAGGACUGGAGCGAGAUGGGGGUUGUGAGUGGGGGUGAGAGUCUGUGAAAGGAGCUCUGGGAAAAGCAAAUGCGUGGGGAGGGGGGCUUCCUCUUCCGGACGAGCUGGAGUAACCCAGACCAAUAAUCACAGCACGUGAAUCCUGCCAGAUGUUCAAGGACAACGUCACAGCAAUUCUGCACAGACUCUUCCAGAAAACUGAAGAGGAGAGCACACUUCCCAGCUCAUUCUAUGAGGCCAGUGUUACCCUCAUAUCAAGCCAAACAAAGAUACUGUGAGAAAAGAAAACUAACGUCUGGGGGCGGCAGCUCACACCUGUAAUCCUAGCACUUUGGGAGGCUGAGGCAUGAGGACUGCUGGAGGCCAGGAGUUCAAGACCAGCCUGAGCAACAUAGCGAGACCCCAUCUCUAUAAUGCAUGAAUAAAUGAAUGAAAACUAAGGACCAAUAUUUCUCAUGUAUGCCAAAAUUGUUAAUAUUUUAUUAAAUUGAUUCCAACAAUAUGUUGAAAACACAGGAAGACCUAAUGUGGCUUAUUCUAGGAAUGCAAGAUAGUUUAAAAUUUAAAAUCUAUAAUUGUAAUUCGCUUUUAAUAGGUUAAAUAAAACAAAUAAAUCAAUGGAUUAAAAGAUUAAUUCAAGAUCCUGUAGCUAUUCCUGAUUAAAAAUCUUCAGAAACCUAGGAAAAGAAAGAACUUCCUUGCCCUGAUAAAGUCAUCUAUGGAAGAACUAUAGCCGACAUCUUUCAUGCUCAAUGGUGAGAGAUGAACUGCUUUCCUUCUAAGUUCAACAGCAAGGCAAGGCUGACCACUCUCGUGUUGUACCCAGGUAAACAGCUCUAACCAGUGCAAUAAGGCAAGAUAAAGAAUAAAAGGCAUCUUGAUUGGAAAGGAAGAAGUUAAACUGUGUUUAUUCCUAAACAACCUGCUUGUGUCUAUAGAAAAUAUUAUGGAAUCUACAAAAUAGCUAUUAGAACUACUAGCUUGAGUUUAGCAAGGUUACAGGACACAAGAUCAAUGUAUAACAAUCAGUGUUUUCUAUGCACAAGAAAUGAACAAAUAAAAACUGAAAUUUACAAGUUUCCAUUUACAAUAGGAUAGAAAUAUAAACUACUUAGGGAUUGUGUUAGUUUCCUAUGAUGCUGUAACAAGUUGUCACAAAUUUAAUGGCUUAAAUAAGACAAAUUUGUUGUCUUUUGGUUCUAGAGGAUAGAAGUUCAAAAUUUGUCUCAGGGGCUGCAACUAGGUAUUGGCGGGGCUGCCUUCCUUCCCAGGCCUGCCGAUUUCAAGGUUGCCCUUUUUUAAGCACCAAAGGAGGCAAGAGAAGCUCCAUCAUUCUCUGCUGUACCCCGUUUAAUAAAAGGAUUUGUACCAUAAAAUUUGAAUUCUGUCAAAAGGCGAACAUAAGGACCUAGACGGCCACAUGUGGCCAUAAGGCCGUGGGUCCCCGCCCCUGAGGGAGUAUCUGUUUCCUUACCUGUCUGGCUUUUAGAGGCUGCCCCGUUUGUUCCUUGGCUUAUGGCCCCAUCAUUCUGACCCCUAAUUCCAGAGUCACAUCUUCACCUUACUGCCCCUCAUCCUCUGUCUUCCUCUUAUAUGGGCUCUUGUGAGGACACUGGGGCCACACGGGUAAUCCAGGGUACCCGCCCCAUUGCAUUUACAGAGUCUGAAGACGUGGGCAUCUUUGGGGACAAAUGCUUCAAGUGUUUAGCUGCAUCUUCCCUUCACCUUCCAGAGGCUGCUGUUGCCACCAACGUGUGAGCACUUUGAGGUUUCUGGGGUGUAAAUUCUUCUUGCCUUUUUGUCUGGCGGGUUUAGGGUUCAGACUUUUGGGAUGUACUAAGUUACUAAGCAUUCAUCCACCUGCUUCCACGAUUCUGUGGCUGCUUUUCUCUUCUCCCAUGUUUUUCUUUUGUCUUUGAAGGUUUAUGCCUUUAAAGAGUGAGCAAAAGUAAAUGUGUGCAUUUAGCUUGCUGUCUCAUCUCUAAUACG